Molecule: ribosomal RNA, 497 nt
Filed under: uncultured bacterium
Lineage: Bacteria
Description: partial 16S ribosomal RNA
Rfam family: Bacterial small subunit ribosomal RNA
Source: RNAcentral
GAUGAACGCUGGCGGCGUGCCUAAUACAUGCAAGUCGAGCGAACGGACGAGAAGCUUGCUUCUCUGAUGUUAGCGGCGGACGGGUGAGUAACACGUGGAUAACCUACCUAUAAGACUGGGAUAACUUCGGGAAACCGGAGCUAAUACCGGAUAAUAUUUUGAACCGCAUGGUUCAAAAGUGAAAGACGGUCUUGCUGUCACUUAUAGAUGGAUCCGCGCUGCAUUAGCUAGUUGGUAAGGUAACGGCUUACCAAGGCAACGAUGCAUAGCCGACCUGAGAGAGUGGUCGGCCACACUGGAGCUGAGACGCGGUCCAGACUACUACGGGAGGCAGCAGUAGGGAAUCUUCCGCAAUGGGCGAAAGCCUGACGGAGCAACGCCGCGUGAGUGAUGGAGGUCUUCGGAUCGUAAAACUCUGUUAUUAGGGAAGAACAUAUGUGUAAGUAACUGUGCACAUCUUGACGGUACCUAAUCAGAAAGCCACGGCUAACUACGUG